Molecule: ribosomal RNA, 484 nt
Filed under: uncultured bacterium
Lineage: Bacteria
Description: partial 16S ribosomal RNA
Rfam family: Bacterial small subunit ribosomal RNA
Source: RNAcentral
AUUGAACGCUGGCGGCAGGCCUAACACAUGCAAGUCGAGCGGAUGAAGGGAGCUUGCUCCUGGAUUCAGCGGCGGACGGGUGAGUAAUGCCUAGGAAUCUGCCUGGUAGUGGGGGAUAACGUCCGGAAACGGGCGCUAAUACCGCAUACGUCCUGAGGGAGAAAGUGGGGGAUCUUCGGACCUCACGCUAUCAGAUGAGCCUAGGUCGGAUUAGCUAGUUGGUGGGGUAAAGGCCUACCAAGGCGACGAUCCGUAACUGGUCUGAGAGGAUGAUCAGUCACACUGGAACUGAGACACGGUCCAGACUCCUACGGGAGGCAGCAGUGGGGAAUAUUGGACAAAGGGCGAAAGCCUGAUCCAGCCAUGCCGCGUGUGUGAAGAAGGUCUUCGGAUUGUAAAGCACUUUAAGUUGGGAGGAAGGGCAGUAAGUUAAUGCCUUGCUGUUUUGACGGUACCAACAGAAUAAGCACCGGCUAACUUCGUG